RNAcentral lists this ribosomal RNA (477 nucleotides) under uncultured bacterium. Its description in RNAcentral is "bacterial SSU rRNA". It matches the Rfam family "Bacterial small subunit ribosomal RNA", at positions 1031 to 1509 of the family's 1533-position model. The record is from RNAcentral.
GAGACAGGUGCUGCAUGGCUGUCGUCAGCUCGUGUUGUGAAAUGUUGGGUAAGUCCCGCAACGAGCGCAACCCUUAUCCUUUGUUGCCAGCGGCUCGGCCGGGAACUCAAAGGAGACUGCCGGUGAUAAACCGGAGGAAGGUGGGGAUGACGUCAAGUCAUCAUGGCCCUUACGGCCAGGGCUACACACGUGCUACAAUGGCGCAUACAAAGAGAAGCGACCUCGCGAGAGCAAGCGGACCUCAUAAAGUGCGUCGUAGUCCGGAUUGGAGUCUGCAACUCGACUCCAUGAAGUCGGAAUCGCUAGUAAUCGUAGAUCAGAAUGCUACGGUGAAUACGUUCCCGGGCCUUGUACACACCGCCCGUCACACCAUGGGAGUGGGUUGCAAAAGAAGUAGGUAGCUUAACCUUCGGGAGGGCGCUUACCACUUUGUGAUUCAUGACUGGGGUGAAGUCGUAACAAGGUAGGCGUAGCGAG